GGGUGGUGUGAAGCAUUUUGUUCUCAAAAGGAACGGAACUUCUCCCGAAGCACAUCGUCCAUUUUUCCACAAUUGCUAAUUAUCCUGCAACGAUAAUGUUACAUAAGAUAAUACAGCGAAAGCCUUCGGGCGUUGACAGUGAAAGGUGUCUAAUACUUCAGACAUUAGUCAAUGAAGUCAUCAGUUAGAACGCAAUUCUCCUGAUGUCAAUCACGAAAUACCUGGUGGGACGGCCAUCCCUUAGAGAGUUCGCAAGACUUUACAGAGUAGAGUAACGGUUGAGUAGCUGGCAACGAAAAGAGUGGUAAACUUAAAUUACCGACACUGACUCGAUACUACGGGCAAUCGUAGUGGACAAUGUGAGGAACCGAUUCAAUGGAUAAUCUCACGAAAGACGGGUCACAUAAACGUGUAGUCUCAGCGU
Molecule: non-coding RNA, 424 nt
Filed under: unclassified sequences
Description: Giant, ornate, lake- and Lactobacillales-derived (GOLLD) RNA
Rfam family: Giant, ornate, lake- and Lactobacillales-derived (GOLLD) RNA
Source: Rfam by way of RNAcentral